UACGUAGGGGGCAAGCGUUGUCCGGAAUCAUUGGGCGUAAAGCGCGUGUAGGCGGCCAGAAAAGUCCGCUGUGAAAACUCGAGGCUCAACUUCGAGCUGUCGGUGGAAACUUUCUGGCUAGAGUCCGGAAGAGGAGAAUGGAAUUCCUGGUGUAGCGGUGAAAUGCGCAGAUAUCAGGAGGAACACCAAUAGCGAAGGCAGCUCGCUGGGACGGUACUGACACUGAGGCGCGAAAGCGUGGGGAGCGAACAGG
This 253-nucleotide ribosomal RNA is filed under the name uncultured bacterium. RNAcentral's name for it is "partial 16S ribosomal RNA". It matches the Rfam family "Bacterial small subunit ribosomal RNA", at positions 524 to 776 of the family's 1533-position model. The record is from RNAcentral.